This 237-nucleotide long non-coding RNA is filed under the name Homo sapiens (human). RNAcentral's name for it is "non-protein coding lnc-FAM83F-4:1". The record is from RNAcentral. Lineage: Eukaryota; Metazoa; Chordata; Mammalia; Primates; Hominidae.
CCGGGAGGUGGAGGUUGCAGUGAGCCAAGAUGGCAUCAUUGCAAUCCAGCCUGGGCAACAAGAGCGAAACUCUGUCUCAAAAACAAAAAGAAAGAAAAGAAAAGGGUAACUUUAAUAGAUAAUGUGUUUCACAAUUUUAUUUUAUUUUUUUAUUUUAUUUAAUUUUAUAAAUAAAAUAAGGGGAGGGGAGGCUCAAGGCAGAAAAGAUCAGGUUAAAGCUUUAUGCUAGAUCUUCGG